Molecule: ribosomal RNA, 164 nt
Filed under: Scaevola hainanensis
Lineage: Eukaryota; Viridiplantae; Streptophyta; Magnoliopsida; Asterales; Goodeniaceae
Description: 5.8S ribosomal RNA
Rfam family: 5.8S ribosomal RNA
About the family: 5.8S ribosomal RNA (5.8S rRNA) is a component of the large subunit of the eukaryotic ribosome. It is transcribed by RNA polymerase I as part of the 45S precursor that also contains 18S and 28S rRNA. Functionally, it is thought that 5.8S rRNA may be involved in ribosome translocation.
Source: RNAcentral
CACAAACGACUCUCGGCAACGGAUAUCUCGGCUCAUGCAUCGAUGAAGAACGUAGCGAAAUGCGAUACUUGGUGUGAAUUGCAGAAUCCCGUGAACCAUCGAGUUUUUGAACGCAAGUUGCGCCCGAAGCCAUUCGGUCGAGGGCACGUCUGCCUGGGCGUCAC